CCUGAGCCGAAGUCGGACACUUAACCGACUGAGCCACGCAGGCGUCCUGAACUAGAAAUUUUUCUAAAAAGCAAACAUUGGUGGAGCUAUUGGACUCUUUCUGCUGCCAGGACCCCUUUGGCUGCUGAGGUGCAGACGUGAGAGCCAGGCAGACCCAGGAGCCCGGGAGGAGGCAGCCGCGGGCCUCUAUCCAGUUAAAAGAAAAUUCCAUCUCCACUUAGCCUGCACACACUGAAACGUCACCUCCUCCGGGAAGGCCAUCCUGACCUCUCUCUGCCCAAACCACACUCGCUCUGCUCUUUGCCGGCCCCUCCACCUGGCCGUCGAUCGGCAGUGGCACAGGAAUGUUGCCAACAACCGGGCCGGUGCGUUUGGGAGUGGACCCUCCCCCAGCUGAGCUUCCGGAUGAGAACACAGCUCUACAGACACCUCAGUUGUAGCAUUUUGACACCCUCAUGAGAGAACCCAACUAAGCCGUGCCCACACUCCAAUCCAUGGGAACAAUUGUGAGGUCCUAAAAACGUGCUGCUUGAAGCCGCUGAAUUUGUGAUCCUUUGUUAUGCAGCCAUAGAAAAAUAAUACCCUUAUUAUUAGAAAAGUGUAGGUCACACCAGCAGACAUUCAUUCGAUGGUAUUAUUGUUACCUUAAUUCCUUUACGUGUCGGUCCUGCAAGUGAGGGUUAUCACAGGGAAGUUCUGGGUCUUGCAGAAAUGCUGGUGCUUUGAGCAGCAAAAUCUGGAACCCCAGGGCUUCAUCUUGGGGUGUCCCAUUAUCAGCAGACCAGCUUUGGCCAGCUUUGAGAGGCACUGGGCGUCUUACCAUCUAAAUCUGAUCUCAGGACAACUAAGAGUGUU
Neofelis nebulosa (Clouded leopard) is the source of this 855-nucleotide long non-coding RNA. RefSeq lists it as uncharacterized. The transcript is spliced from 3 exons. The record is from RefSeq and is a predicted model, not a curated record. Lineage: Eukaryota; Metazoa; Chordata; Mammalia; Carnivora; Felidae.